CCUACGGGUGGCAGCAGUGAGGAAUAUUGCACAAUGGGGGAAACCCUGAUGCAGCGACGCCGCGUGCGUGAAGAAGUAUUUCGGUAUGUAAAGCUCUAUCAGCAGGGAAGAAAAUGACGGUACCUGAUUAAGAAGCCCCGGCUAACUCCGUGCCAGCAGCCGCGGUAAUACGUAGGGGGCAAGCGUUAUCCGGAUUUACUGGGUGUAAAGGGAGCGUAGGCGGCAGAACAAGUCUGGAGUGAAAUGCCGGGGCUUAACCCGGGAACUGCUUUUGAAACUUGGCAGCUAGAGUGCAGGAGCGGUAAGCGGAAUGUAUAGUGUAGCGGUGAAAUGCGUAGAGAUUAGGAGGAACACCAGUGGCGAAGGCAGCUUACCGGACUGUAACUGACGUUGAGGCUCGAAAGCGUGGGGAGCAAACAGGAUUAGAUACCCGUGUAGUC
This 440-nucleotide ribosomal RNA is filed under the name uncultured bacterium. Its description in RNAcentral is "partial 16S ribosomal RNA". It matches the Rfam family "Bacterial small subunit ribosomal RNA", at positions 338 to 795 of the family's 1533-position model. The record is from RNAcentral.